RNAcentral lists this ribosomal RNA (213 nucleotides) under uncultured bacterium. RNAcentral's name for it is "partial 16S ribosomal RNA". It matches the Rfam family "Bacterial small subunit ribosomal RNA", at positions 118 to 334 of the family's 1533-position model. The record is from RNAcentral.
UCGGAACGUGCCCAGUCGUGGGGGAUAACGUAGCGAAAGCUACGCUAAUACCGCAUACGAUCUAUGGAUGAAAGCGGGGGAUCGCAAGACCUCGCGCGAUUGGAGCGGCCGAUAUCAGAUUAGCUAGUUGGUGGGGUAAAGGCCCACCAAGGCGACGAUCGGUAGCUGGUCUGAGAGGAUGAUCAGCCACACUGGGACUGAGACACGGCCCAG